UUAUGAUAUGCUUGUCUCAAAGAUUAAGCCAUGUAUGUCUAAGUAUAAACUAAUUAUACGGUGAAACUGCGGACGGCUCAUUAAAUCAGCUAUAGUUUAUUUGAUAGUCUUUACUACUUGGAUAACCGUAGUAAUUCUAGAGCUAAUACAUGCGCAAAGCCGUGCAAACGGUGUAUUUAUUAGGUAAAAAGCCAACCCCUCGUGGAGUUGUGAGGAUUCAUGAUAACUGAGCGGAGCGUAUGGCCUCGUUGCCGACGCCGAUUCAUUCAAAUUUCUG
Molecule: ribosomal RNA, 277 nt
Filed under: uncultured eukaryote
Lineage: Eukaryota
Description: partial 18S ribosomal RNA
Rfam family: Eukaryotic small subunit ribosomal RNA
Source: RNAcentral